This 465-nucleotide ribosomal RNA is filed under the name uncultured bacterium. Its description in RNAcentral is "partial 16S ribosomal RNA". It matches the Rfam family "Bacterial small subunit ribosomal RNA", at positions 339 to 795 of the family's 1533-position model. The record is from RNAcentral.
CUACGGGUCGCACCAGUGGGGAAUAUUGGACAAUGGGGGAAACCCUGAUCCAGCAAUGCCGCGUGUGUGAAGAAGGCCUGCGGGUUGUAAAGCACUUUCGGUUGGGAGGACUGCUUCUAGCACUAAUAUUGUUGGAAGUUGACGUUACCUUCAGAAGAAGCACCGGCUAACUCCGUGCCAGCAGCCGCGGUAAUACGGAGGGUGCAAGCGUUAAUCGGAAUUACUGGGCGUAAAGCGCGCGUAGGCGGCUAGAUCAGUCGGGUGUGAAAGCCCCGGGCUUAACCUGGGAACUGCAUCCGAUACUGGCUAGCUUGAGUACAGGAGAGGGGGGUAGAAUUCGAUAUGUAGCGGUGAAAAGCGUAGAUAUGUGGAGGAACACCAAUGGCGAAGGCAGCUCUCUGGCCUGAUACUGACGCUGAGGUGCGAAAGCGUGGGGAGAAAACAGGAUUAGAUACCCUAGUAGUC